UGGUAAUUACACUGCAGUCUAUGCCACCAACUGGCUAUAGUCACCCAAAGGGUGGAGAUCGGAGGAGGCAUUGUGGU
RNAcentral lists this long non-coding RNA (77 nucleotides) under Phasianus colchicus (ring-necked pheasant). RNAcentral's name for it is "lncRNA (ENSPCLG00000019602.1)". The record is from RNAcentral. Lineage: Eukaryota; Metazoa; Chordata; Aves; Galliformes; Phasianidae.